RNAcentral lists this non-coding RNA (21 nucleotides) under Caenorhabditis elegans. The record is from RNAcentral. Lineage: Eukaryota; Metazoa; Nematoda; Chromadorea; Rhabditida; Rhabditidae.
UUUUGCAGAAUUAUUAUCAGA